GACGAACGCUGGCGGCGUGCUUAACACAUGCAAGUAGAACGCAGUUGCGAACGGGUGAGUAACGCGUAGGUAACUGCCUGGUAGCGGGGGAUAACUAUUGGAAACGAUAGCUAAUACCGCAUACUACCAGAUGGACCUGCGUUGUAUUAGCUAGUUGGUGAGGUAACGGCACACCAAGGCAACGAGACAUAGCCGACCUGAGAGGGGGGUCGGUCACACAGGAACUGAGAGACGGCCCAGACUCCUACGGGAUGCAGCAGUAGGGAAUCUUCGGCGAUGGUGGGGACCCUGACCGAGCAACGCCGCGUGAGUGAAGAAGAUUUUAGGAUCGUAAAGCUCUGUUGUUGAGGAAGCGGUACUUAACCAGGAAGGGACGGCUAACUACGUGCCAGCAGCCGCGGUAAUAC
This 407-nucleotide ribosomal RNA is filed under the name uncultured bacterium. RNAcentral's name for it is "partial 16S ribosomal RNA". It matches the Rfam family "Bacterial small subunit ribosomal RNA", at positions 28 to 526 of the family's 1533-position model. The record is from RNAcentral.